RNAcentral lists this small nuclear RNA (161 nucleotides) under Olea europaea subsp. europaea. Its description in RNAcentral is "U1 spliceosomal RNA". It matches the Rfam family "U1 spliceosomal RNA". From Rfam's summary of the family: U1 is a small nuclear RNA (snRNA) component of the spliceosome (involved in pre-mRNA splicing). Its 5' end forms complementary base pairs with the 5' splice junction, thus defining the 5' donor site of an intron. There are significant differences in sequence and secondary structure between metazoan and yeast U1 snRNAs, the latter being much longer (568 nucleotides as compared to 164 nucleotides in human). The record is from Rfam by way of RNAcentral. Lineage: Eukaryota; Viridiplantae; Streptophyta; Magnoliopsida; Lamiales; Oleaceae.
AUACUUACCUGGACGGGGUCAAUAGGUGAUCAAGAAGGCCCAUGGCCUAGAUUGGCAAUUUCCAUUGCACUUAGGAGGGGCGUCCGUCUAAGGUCGGCCCAAGUGGUCGAGCCUACGCCAUAAUUUGUGAUAGAGGGGGCCUGCGUUCGCGCAGCCCCUGC